RNAcentral lists this long non-coding RNA (6648 nucleotides) under Homo sapiens (human). RNAcentral describes it as "HSALNT0029737". The record is from RNAcentral. Lineage: Eukaryota; Metazoa; Chordata; Mammalia; Primates; Hominidae.
CAACCUCAGGCAGAAAUGGUUUAAUACUGUUAUCAUGGAAAUGGGUUUGUUAUAAAAGGGUGUGUCUGGCCCCCUUUUAUCUCUCUCUCUUUUGCCCUUCCACCUUGGGAUGGCACAGCAAGAAGCCCCUCUCCGGAUGCCGGCCCCUCUUGGACUUCCCAGCUUCCAGAAUUGUGAGCCAGUCAAUUUCUGUUCAUUAUAAAUUACCCAGUCUCAGGUAUUCUGUUAUAGCAGCACAAAACAGACUAAGACAGUGGGUUAUCCUAAAUCCAUACUAUGCCAGCGAGAACCAAGGGGUGUAGCAUGUUUCCUGAGCAGUGUUUCAGAUCCCCAGCAGAAGGUAAAUGCUGUAAAUUACUGUGCAUUUGCCACAGUGUAGUAGACUGAAUAGUGGCCACCAAAGAUAUCCAGGUCCUAAUCCCUAACACCUGUGAAUACUAAUGUAAUGUGUCAAAACAGGCUUUGUAGAUGUGAUUAAGUCAAGGAAUUUUCGAUGGAGAGAGUAUCCUAGAUUAACUUGGUGGGACCUAAAUGCAAUCACAAAUGACCUUAUAAGAGAGAGGCAGAGGGAGACUUGACACCAUAUAAAGAAAUGGGACAUUAAGGCAAGAGGCUGAGGUAUUGGCUUUGAAGAUGGAGGAAGGGGCCACAAGCCAAGGAAUGCAAAGAGUACAUCUCUAGAAGCUCAAAAGAUAAGAAAAAGGAUUCUCCCCAAAAGCCUCCAGAAGGAGUGCAACCCUACCGAUGCCAUGAUCUUGGGCUAAUGUAACUGAUUUUACAUUCUGACCCCCAGAACUAUUGGAGAAUAAAAGUGUGUUAUUUGAAGCCACUAAGUUUGUGGUAAUUUGUCACAGCAGGUAAAGUAAACUAAUAUACACAGCAAACAAUGAGAAUAUUUUUAAAAUCUGAAUUAAAAGUCUGGGAUUUUGGUGUGUGUGCAACCACUACCAGUUUUCUAGAUACUCUUCUAGAGACAAGGUAUUGUGAAACAGACAAUAUAAGUGAGAAUGGAAGAGAGUAACACAGACCCAAAGGGCAUGCUUCAAAAGCCACAGGGGAGGCCAGAUCCCAGCUGACACACCACUUUAGAAUAAGAGUGUUUCCUCAAAAUAACUGAAGGAACACCGAGAAGGGCUAUAGAUGUGUUCAGCUUUAUUCCCACAGUUGACAUUUAUAAUGUAUCAGUCCCUCCCUGUUAAUAGCUUGACUGACAGACAAUCAAAGGAUGUGUGGGACUCAUAAAUAGUCCGAAGCACACCCAAGAGGGAGCAUUUGUAAUGCAGCCUUCAGAGACUAGGUAGAAAGGAAAGGAAGGGAGCAAAGGAAAACUCAGGGAGGAAUUUAAGGGACAAGUGUUCCUGACCAAAAUGUCAGAGCCUGGACUAAGCUCUUGAUCACAAAGAAAUGGUGAGAAGCCCCGUAGCUGAAAUUACUGUGAGAGCCCGUUGGAGUCAGAGGAAGUAUUUGUGGUGGGAUUACAGGGAAACUUUUCUACUUCUUGUCUCCACAUAAGCCCCAGGUUAGUCCCAAAGGACUGUGGAUGCUGUUGAGGCUUAGUGAACACCCAGUAAUGGGAGAAGAAGAGACUCGCUUUCAGUACCAUAUUCCCUUGGGUACAGAGAAAAAGCUCAGGCCGUUUUGAAAACAGCUGCUGCACUUUUCCCAAAUGACCUUUCUUUGUUCCCUUCAGCUCCAAGCCCUUGGACUCAUUCUCCAUUUUUCUCUUUAUGCAGGUGUAUGUUUAAGCUCAGGCUGGAAAAGGAUCACUGAAAGUCACUUGGAUGGUGUCUCGUGUGUCUGUGAUGAGCUUGCUGUUGCUUUCUUUCUCCUUGACAGAUGAGAAAACAGUGGCUUCAAAGGUUAAACAACUUGUCUUCGAUUGCACAGCUAACAAGAGCUCACUGUCCAAAGGGAGUCUCUCUCCCCGGUCCACAUGCUGAGGCUUGCUCCAGAGUGAAUGUGUGCACUGGAAAGAACCCACACAGGCCCCCUGAGAGCUGUCAGCCUUGCCAGGCUUCUGUGAGAUCCCUGGGUCCGAGUAGCCAAGCUGGGAGGAGCACCAUUUGCCCACUGACUCUUGGGCAACGCUGCAGCCUGCAUCCCAGCCGGCAGAAGGCAGGUGGUAUCACAGCUGAGUUUACAGCCACGGAAGGAACCACUGUAGGCUUUUAGUAGAUAAUAUGUUUUCUCUGCUUCAAAUCCUUAUUUUGGUUGCUUAAAAUUUCUGCAGAAAACAAACAGCUUCUGCCAAAAUUGGCUCACAAAAUUAGCUUACUAGUAUAAUCAGUUGUAUAGCAAGUAUUUACUGAGUAGCUCUUGGAAGGCAGUCAACACAAGAGGGAUGGAUCAUUCUUCCAGUUCAUCACACGUGGGUUGGACAUGCUAACAGUCCCCGAUAGCUAUCAGGCGAGUAAAUGGAUGAUCACACAAAGGCAGAGGCAUCGCAGAAGGAUGCUAACUAGAUGUCAUGCGUCAAGGAUACUACAGAAGGAUCUCUUUGCUGACAAGGAGGGUACCUCUAAGGUUCCUUCAGAUGGGAUGGUUCUCUGUUCACCGUGAUCACUACUAUGCAAAGGCCUGUGGGCCAUUUAGGAGAAAAGCAUUCAGUCCAAUUCCACAGACACAGUGAGGAUGUAAUAUGCCCUAGGCAUAUAUGAGUGGAUCCAAGGAGGAAAUACUCAGUCACUACUGUCAAGAACUCAUGACCUGCUGCAGGGUUUGCCAAACUAUGGCUUGUGGGCCAAUCUGGCUCACCACCUAUUUUAGUAAAUAAUGUUUUACUGGAAUCCAGACACGCUUGUUUGAUUACAUAUUGUCUAUGGCUGCUGAGCACCCACUAUAAGGGCAAAGUUAAGUAGAUAGAGACUUUAUCACCCACAAAACCUAAAAUAUUUGACUGGAUGGCCCUCUACAGAAAAAGCCUGCGAACCUGUGGUCUUGUGGGAGGACACUGCUGGGCACAGUUAACUCUAAUUCUUGGCUGUAGCAUCUUGAAUAGGGUGGCAGUCCCUGGCUGCUGAGGGGGACAGCUGGACGGCUGCCUCCCAGGGGCAUUUCCAUGACUUGCAGGCCCAGAAACUAGACUUGGGCAUGACCACAGAGUUCUUGAUGGACUGAAGAUGCCCAAACCACAGACUGACUUGUAGGCUAGAAAUGAACAUGUGGGGUGGAAUAGUCCUUUUGGGGACUAGAAUAAUUUCUAGAGAGCCACCCUUUCUACAUGAUACGGCGCACAUUCAAGUGUGGCUACUUACACUGAGACUUUCUGAUGAGCACGACUAGACAGCAGGGGGCCCCCAGGAUAGUUUGUUCAGGUCAAGGUAAGAUGAGAGGAGAAACUAGCCCUGUCCCUUGCUGGACACCACCACUCCAGUGCCUGAAAUCCAACCUCCCCACCCCCAUCAGCAUUCCUCCCCUGGAAAAGAUUGGAAAAUGCAAGAAUGUGCUUCUUUGACUCUGGCCUUCCUCUAACAGCCCUGCUUCUGUUAACACAGCCUUUUUGCAGCUUCCUUGACGUCAUUGGCUACAGGCUACAGCUGUUGCUAGUCAAAGGCAUUGUUCCUUUGAGCUAGCAGGCACUUUGUUCUCUCCCAUGACACAUUGUUUUAUGAGCUCACUCUAGAGGAGAAACAUUCUAUCCCUGUGCUCAAGUUCUUCAGGAGCACCUCACUGUCUCCCUCUGCCCACCCACCUGCACCUGACAGCUGUGGGCUGUGCUCUCAGGGAGGCACCGUCAGAUGCUACCAGACUACAGAGGAGAGCACCCUCAAUCCUGACUGAAGGUUUGGGAAAAGGCUGCUCAGAAGAGGUGAUACUUGAUAUGGGCCCUGGAGGAGGAGAAGCAGUUUGAGAAGACAGCAGUGAGAGAUGGCAUCCGGGCAGGCGAGAAAUGUCAGUGGUCAUGGAGGCAGCAUGAAGGGACUGUUGGCUGCAGAAACCUGGCAAGGCUCUUAGAGACAGAGACGAAGAGGGAGAUGGGGCUGGAGAUGGAGAUGAUAGAGACAGAAAGAUUGAAGAUGGCAGAGUGGGGGCUAUGGGGAAGGGUGAUGAAGCAGGAAAGAUAGAUCGAACGAGACUGCGAGGAGCCUGUGUGCCUGGGCUUUAUUUUGGAGGCAAUGAGAAACAGAAAGUGUUUUUGAGCAUGAUGGGACAAUGAGGAGUUCUGUGGUUUAGGAAACCCAGCAGUCACGGGAAGUGCAGAUUCAAAGUAAGAAAACGUCCCAGGGUUUGGUGAUGAUCUUGGUGGGAAGUGACACAGGGGUAGUGGGGAUGGAAUUGAAAGAAAGGAUGAACUUCCAGAGUAUGGCUGUGCUCAGUAGACAGGAAUCAGGGAGGGCAGGAGGAGAGUAAAAGGGUCCUCUGAGCUUAAAUCCAGAUGUUGAGGAGAUGGUGGUACUAUCAAUGGAGGUGGAGCUCUUAAGAGGAAGAAAGAUGGGAAAGAAAAGGAUGAGGUUUUUGACAAGUUGAAUAUGGGGUGAGCAUGGGUCCAACUGAAAGCAGUGGAAAUAUAGACGUGAAAAAUAGAUGCGGUAGAGUUGAAAAGUUGGGGAUAAUUUUCACCUGAAUGUUACCUAAGGCAAAGGGAAGAGAGGUCAUCCAGGACAAAAGUACAGAAUGAAAAGAAAAAGCAACUAAGCACGAAAUCUUGGAGAAUGUCCUCAUUGAAGGGUGAGCAGAUGAAGAGGAGCCCACAAAAGAGACUGAGGAAUUGUCUUCAUUCACUCAUUCAUGCAUGUAUUCAUUUGGUCAACAAAUAUUUUUUGGCACCUCCCAUGGACAGGUCCUGAGCACCAAGGGUACAGUCAGAAAUGAUGAAUCCAGAAAUGAUGCCCUCCAGAACUUCUGGUGAGGAAGGCACUCAGGAAAAUGCAGCACCCUAUGGAGGCCCAGAAAGGAGGGCAUUCAGGAAGAACACAGUCUGAUGGUGUCAAGUGCAGCGGAGGCUAAGAGGUAGGGAGGAAAAGAUGGUAAAAGGAGAGAACUGGGGAGGCAAGAGGGACAAAUGAGGGAGAAGAGAAGGGAGAGGAAAUACAACAGAGGCACAGAGUGGGGAUUUGUCUGAUUCAAGAAUCCUAGGCGGGGCGCGGUGGCUCACACCUGUGAUCCCAGCACUUUGGGAGGCCAAGGUGGGUGGAUCGCCUGAGGUUGGGAGUUUGAGACCAGCCUGGCCAACAUGGUGAAACCCUGUCUCUACUAAAAUACAAAAUUAGCUGGGCAUGGUGGGGCGGGUGCCCAUAGACCCAGCUACUUGGGAGGCCAAGGCAGGAGAAUCGCUUGAACCCAGGAGGCAGAGGUUGCAGUGAGCCAAGAUUGCUUCAUGGCACUCCAGCCUGGGUGACAGAGUGAGACUCCAUCUAAAAAAUGAAAGAAAAAAGAAUCCUAUGUUCUUUCCCCUGGCCUUACCUUAGAAAGCAGAGUGAAUGCCGACCUAAUCAGGUUUACCUCCAUUGCCAUAGCAACCUCUGGGACUCACUUUGGUGCACAUUCUUGAGACCUGAAGUGAAGAAGUUAACUUUAUAUCAAGUUACCUACCAAUUAGGCUAGCGAUUUCUCUGUCUUUUAAAACAUUCUUUUAAAGUCUUGUCAUGUUUCAUCUUUCUAGAAUUCAUUUUUCACAUCUUCAUUCACUGGGAUUCUGGACCAUAAUAUAUGUAAACACACAAAAUACUAAAGAUUGAAAAUACAAUUAUUCUGUUUUCUGAUUAUUAAAGUGGUCAUUGUUAAAAAAAAAAGACUUGGAAAAUACAAUAUAAAGUAGAAAAUACAAAUCACUCAUUUCCCCACCACUCUUAGUAUUCUGUUGUUUUUCUUCCCAAUCCUGUUUCUAGACACAUUUGAUGACAUUUAAACAUAUUUUUAUUGUGAAUAUACAGUUUCAUAUAUGGUUUUGUUUGCUAACUAAUUAUAUCAUGGACAUUUCCCCAUGCCACUAAAAUAACUAUAAAAUCAUUUCAUUAUUCAUAAGCUUCACAUUUUAGCCCUUCCUCUAUUUUAAUGCAGCAAUUGUCCACCUUUAUACAUAAAUAUUUGUUCCUGAAUCUUAAAAGUAGUCAAAUUCGUUCACACUUCAAAAUUAUUUUUGUAUUUACUUUUUCUUAGAAUCUUUGUGUUUAAUGUCUCAUUCAUUUCAAAGAGCAAUAUUAAUACAAUUGAAAGUGAUCACAGCAUCUUUUGUCUCCAAAUGCAAGUUAUUUUGUAAUGUGAUCUAAUUUUAUUUUGUAAACUCCAUUAUUAAGAAAUUUGACCCAAAUUUGAGAAAUGAUAGUUACUCUUGACUCAUACCAUUCAGCCCUAGGUUUCCAUCAAUGCUUGUUUGAAUUCCAUGGGUAUAGCACUGGUGGAACUGCUUUUUCAGAUUUUUAGAUUUGUCAGAGAAUAUUAAUCCUUAACCUAAGUUUUUUUUCCCUGAUUUCUCUCUUUACAUUUAUUUGUUUUCUUAGUUUCAUUAUGAUAUAUGAAACUAACAUAUCCUUUGUAUGAGGAUUCAGUGGUUACAUCUGAAAGCAAACAGGAAGUUAUUAUUUUGCUUGUUAGAAAAAUUCACUUCCCUUAAUGUAGCUUUUCCCAUUAUUUUACUCUCAAACAUUUGGUGUACUUCUGUUUUACAUGUGUUUCUUGUAAGAAGAAUAUGGUUGGAUUUUUAAAAAU